AGAAGGUAAAACCACUAGCGGAAGCAAAACGUCGGGGUUGGACGUCCCUAGUGAGGCCAGCCGGGACAUCACUGAUCCCUCUCCUCGCCGUCCGAGGAGGGAUCCCACUCGACCGUCCAACCCGGAAGGAGCUGGGGCGGCCAAGUGCCAGCGGGAGAAGGGUCGGGAGCAGCAACUUCACCUGAAAAACGGGAGCCACAACAAGGCUGAGCUACUAAGCUCAACAAGACUUAACCGACAGGAGUAAAGCUACUCCACACUUCUAGACAUGCAAGGCUUUUUGGCAGAGGGGUUUGUUUGCCAAAAGCACUAAAUAGAACCUUAGUUUCAAGUUUUAGCUCAGGUUCUAAGUUCAUUAUCC
This 361-nucleotide long non-coding RNA is filed under the name Setaria viridis. RNAcentral's name for it is "long non-coding RNA (SVIR_LNC001002)". The record is from RNAcentral. Lineage: Eukaryota; Viridiplantae; Streptophyta; Magnoliopsida; Poales; Poaceae.